UUUCCGUAGGUGAACCUGCGGAAGGAUCAUUAAAAUUCUAGUCCCCCUGCGCUCUGGGCAGGGGUCUUCUAUACCACCCUUUGUUUAUUACAUCUUUGUUGCUUUUGCGGGCCUGCCCUCGGUCUGCUGGCUCCGGCCGUCUCGCGUCUGCCUGAGGACAUAUUCUCUGUUUGUAUAUGAAAUCUGAGUACUUUAUAAUAGUUAAAACUGUCAACAACGGAUCUCUUGGUUCUG
RNAcentral lists this unclassified non-coding RNA (234 nucleotides) under plant metagenome. RNAcentral describes it as "partial contains small subunit ribosomal RNA, internal transcribed spacer 1, and 5.8S ribosomal RNA". The record is from RNAcentral.